This 400-nucleotide unclassified non-coding RNA is filed under the name uncultured fungus. RNAcentral describes it as "sequence contains ITS1". The stretch from base 1 to 105 matches the Rfam family "5.8S ribosomal RNA", at positions 50 to 154 of the family's 154-position model. Lineage: Eukaryota; Fungi. The record is from RNAcentral.
AAAGUGCGAUAAGCAAUGCGAAUUGCAGAAUUCCGCGAAUCAUCAGAUCCUUGAACGCAACUGGCGCUAGGGGGCUCUCCCUCUAGCAUGUCUGUUUCAGUGUCUGAAAACAUCAUAAUUUAUCUUAAUGUGGUUGACAAAGGUAGGUUUCCUACCUAAGUCUUCUAUUAAAGAUGACAUGUGUGGGGUCUUUGGACUCCUCAUCGAAUUUGGUCACUGGUCUCUUCAGUGAUUUCGAUAAGGAGAAGAAAGAGUGGGUACUCCCUCUCUUUUAUUUAAUCCAAUCAUCCUUUCUUCUUUAAAGAAGAAACACAUGUGCACCCCUUGAUUGAUUGAAAACCUACUGAAUAAGUAUGGUUCUUCAUCAUCAUCUCUUUCUUCAAACUCUGCAUCUGAAAUC